CACCAGGCGCGAAAACUCUACAAUGCAGGCAACUGCGAUAGGGGGACAUCGAGUGGCAUCCACCUUGGGUGCCUGUCCAACCGUCUAAAAAACGGUUGUUAGCAAGGGCCGGGUAAGACCGGUGCCAGCCGCCGCGGUAAUACCGGCGGCCCGAGUGGUGGCCGAUAUUAUUGAGUCUAAAGGGUCCGUAGCCGGCUUGGCAAGUCUCUUGGGAAAUCCGGCGGCUUAACCGUCGGUCGUCCGGGAGAUACUACCUUGCUUGGGACUGGGAGAGGCGUGAGGUACUCAGGGGGUAGGAGUGAAAUCCUGUAAUCCUUUGGGGACCACCGGUGGCGAAGGCGUCACGCCAGAACAGGUCCGACGGUGAGGGACGAAAGCUAGGGGCACGAACCGGAUUAGAUACCCGGGUAGUCCUAGCCGUAAACGAUGCUCGCUAGGUGUCACGACAAUCGUGAAUUGUCGUGGUGCCGUAGGGAAGCCGUGAAGCGAGCCACUUGGGAAGUACGACCGCAAGGUUGAAACUUAAAGGAAUUGGCGG
This 538-nucleotide ribosomal RNA is filed under the name uncultured archaeon. RNAcentral describes it as "bacterial SSU rRNA". It matches the Rfam family "Archaeal small subunit ribosomal RNA", at positions 333 to 871 of the family's 1478-position model. The record is from RNAcentral.